This 93-nucleotide ribosomal RNA is filed under the name Pogona vitticeps (central bearded dragon). Lineage: Eukaryota; Metazoa; Chordata; Lepidosauria; Squamata; Agamidae. The record is from RNAcentral.
ACACCAUCCUAAACAUCUUAUUCGCUCUCAGAAGCUAAGCAGGCUUGGCCCUGGUCAGUAUGGAGAUGGGAGACCAGGAGGGGAGACCAGGGA